CCGGAAGGGCGGAGGGCCGCUCUUGGUUCAUUCCAAGGGAGGAAAGUCCGAACUCCACAGGGCGCGAUGCCAUGCAACCCCGGGAAGACCGGGGAUACGCAUGGGAGACGGGGCCGCGAGGCCCCUCGACGGACAGUGCCACAGAGAACAUACCGCCGAACUCCGGUCUUCGGGCCGGGGUGGCAAGGGUGAAAAGGUGGGGUAAGAGCCCACCGCGCCGAGCGCAAGCGGAGCGGCACGGAAAACCCCGUCGGGAGCAAGGCCAAAUAGGGGGCCCUGGAGCGGCCCGCUCCGGUUCCGCGCGAGCGGACGGGUCCCGGGUAUGGCCGCUAAGAGAAAUGGUCCUCUCCCCGCGGUGACGCGGGCAGACAGAAUUCGGCUUACAGCCCUUCCGGAACC
This 399-nucleotide RNase P RNA is filed under the name Verrucomicrobiia bacterium. Its description in RNAcentral is "RNase P RNA component class A". It matches the Rfam family "Bacterial RNase P class A". From Rfam's summary of the family: Ribonuclease P (RNase P) is a ubiquitous endoribonuclease, found in archaea, bacteria and eukarya as well as chloroplasts and mitochondria. Its best characterised activity is the generation of mature 5'-ends of tRNAs by cleaving the 5'-leader elements of precursor-tRNAs. Lineage: Bacteria; Pseudomonadati; Verrucomicrobiota; Verrucomicrobiia. The record is from RNAcentral.